GUGAGGAAUAUUGCGCAAUGGAGGCAACUCUGACGCAGCCAUGCCGCGUGCAGGAAGAAGGCGCUACGCGUUGUAAACUGCUUUUAACCGGGAAGAAACCCCAGGACGUGUCCUGGGUUGACGGUACCGGAGGAAUAAGCACCGGCUAACUUCGUGCCAGCAGCCGCGGUAAUACGAAGGGUGCAAGCGUUAUCCGUAUUCAUUGGGUUUAAAGGGUGCGUAGGCGGAGCGUUAAGUCAGUGGUGAAAUCCUGCAGCUUAACUGUAGACUUGCCAUUGAUACUGGCGCUCUUGAGUGCGCUGGAAGGGGGCGGAAUGUGCCGUGUAGCGGUGAAAUGCUUAGAUAUGGCACAGAACACCAAUUGCGAAGGCAGCUCACUAAGGCGAUACUGACGCUGAGGCACGAAAGCGUGGGGAUCGAACAGGAUUAGAAACCCUGGUAGUCC
This 445-nucleotide ribosomal RNA is filed under the name uncultured bacterium. RNAcentral describes it as "partial 16S ribosomal RNA". It matches the Rfam family "Bacterial small subunit ribosomal RNA", at positions 354 to 796 of the family's 1533-position model. The record is from RNAcentral.